Molecule: ribosomal RNA, 121 nt
Filed under: uncultured eukaryote
Lineage: Eukaryota
Description: partial small subunit ribosomal RNA
Rfam family: Eukaryotic small subunit ribosomal RNA
Source: RNAcentral
UAAUAGGGAUAGUUGGGGGCAUUAGUAUUUAAUUGUCAGAGGUGGAAUUCUCAGACUUGUUAAAGACUAACUUAUGCGAAAGCAUUUGCCAAGGAUGUUUUCAUUGAUCAAGAACGAAAGU